UACGUAGGGGGCAAGCGUUGUCCGGAAUCAUUGGGCGUAAAGCGCGUGUAGGCGGCCAGAAAAGUCCGCUGUGAAAACUCGAGGCUCAACUUCGAGCUGUCGGUGGAAACUUUCUGGCUAGAGUCCGGAAGAGGAGAAUGGAAGUUCCUGGUGUAGCGGUGAAAUGACGCAGAUAUCAGGAAGAACGACCCGUGGCGAAGGCGGUUCUCUGGGACGGUACUGACGCUGAGACGCGAAGCGUGGGGAGCGAACAGG
RNAcentral lists this ribosomal RNA (255 nucleotides) under uncultured bacterium. RNAcentral's name for it is "partial 16S ribosomal RNA". It matches the Rfam family "Bacterial small subunit ribosomal RNA", at positions 524 to 776 of the family's 1533-position model. The record is from RNAcentral.